Molecule: ribosomal RNA, 440 nt
Filed under: uncultured bacterium
Lineage: Bacteria
Description: partial 16S ribosomal RNA
Rfam family: Bacterial small subunit ribosomal RNA
Source: RNAcentral
CCUACGGGUGGCAGCAGUAGGGAAUCUUGCACAAUGGGGGAAACCCUGAAGCAGCAACGCCGCGUGGAGGAUGAAGGGUUUAGGAUUGUAAACUCCUUUUGUGAGAGAAGAUAAUGACGGUAAGUCACGAAUAAGCACCGGCUAACUCCUUGCCAGCAGGCGCGGUAAUACGGAGGGUGCAAGCGUUACUCGGAAUGACUGGGCGUAAAGAGUGCGCAGGCGGGCUUGUAAGUCAGAUGUGAAAUCCUGUAGCUUAACUACAGAACUGCAUUUGAAACUAUGAGUCUUGAGUGUGGGAGAGGUAGGUGGAAUUCCUGGUGUAGGGGUAAAAUCCGUAGAUAUCAAGAGGAAUACUCAUUGCGAAGGCGACCCUCUGGAACAUUACUGACGCUCAUGCUCGAAAGCGUGGGGAGCGAACAGGAUUAGAUACCCUAGUAGUC